GAGCAAUAAGGAUACGACCAUUAACAAGAUGUUGAUGGGCAUGGAUCGCAAGGACCCUAUGGAUGAGGCAGGGAUACCAUCAGGAUGAUGGAAGGACACCGCUCAGGGAACAAGUGAUGAAAGCUGACCGGGAUAGGUGAGCGAAAAGGAUUGUUAGGACACCGUCAAGGUGGCGAUGCAGAGGAUUGGGUUGCAGGAUUCAACCGCUAUUAAGGAUGAUGCAGGGAGCAACCAUUGGUAGCCGGAUAGCUACAAGUAAAACUUAAGCCCCGAUACACUAGUGUCGGGGCUUUUCUUGAUA
Molecule: non-coding RNA, 301 nt
Filed under: Vibrio cincinnatiensis DSM 19608
Lineage: Bacteria; Pseudomonadati; Pseudomonadota; Gammaproteobacteria; Vibrionales; Vibrionaceae
Source: RNAcentral